UGAGGGUUGGCCGAGUGGUUCAAGGCGGCAGACUUAAGAUCUGUUGGAUUUGUUGUCCGCGCGAGUUCGAACCUCGCAUCCUUCA
Molecule: transfer RNA, 85 nt
Filed under: Saccharomyces cerevisiae (brewer's yeast)
Lineage: Eukaryota; Fungi; Ascomycota; Saccharomycetes; Saccharomycetales; Saccharomycetaceae
Rfam family: tRNA
About the family: Transfer RNA (tRNA) molecules are approximately 80 nucleotides in length. Their secondary structure includes four short double-helical elements and three loops (D, anti-codon, and T loops).
Source: RNAcentral